This 518-nucleotide ribosomal RNA is filed under the name Staphylococcus aureus. RNAcentral's name for it is "bacterial LSU rRNA". It matches the Rfam family "Bacterial large subunit ribosomal RNA", at positions 1288 to 1915 of the family's 2925-position model. Lineage: Bacteria; Bacillati; Bacillota; Bacilli; Caryophanales; Staphylococcaceae. The record is from RNAcentral.
GUGCGAAUGCAGACAUGAGUAGCGAUAAAGAGGGUGAGAUGCCCUCUCGCCGAAAGACCAAGGGUUCCUGCGCAAGGCUAAUCCGCGCAGGGUGAGCCGGCCCCUAAGACGAGCCCGAAGGGGGUAGUCGAUGGGAACCACGUUAAUAUUCGUGGGCCUGGUGGUGUGUGACGGAUCUCGUGUGUUGUACGUCCUUAUCGGAUUGGACGUGCCUCGAAGAGGUCCCGGGAAAUAGCCCCACCGUAUAGACCGUACCCGAAACCGACACAGGUGGUCAGGUAGAGUAUACCAAGGCGCUUGAGAGAAGUGUCCUGAAGGAACUCGGCAAAUUGCCUCCGUACCUUCGGAAGAAGGAGGCCCCAUGUAAGCGCAAGCUCUCAUGGGGGGCACAGGCCAGGGGGUAGCGACUGUUUAGCAAAAACACAGGGCUCUGCUAAGUCGGCUUCAAGACGACGUAUAGGGCCUGACGCCUGCCCGGUGCCUGAAGGUUAAGUGGAGGAGUGCAAGCUCUGAAACUG